RNAcentral lists this long non-coding RNA (249 nucleotides) under Mytilus galloprovincialis (Mediterranean mussel). Lineage: Eukaryota; Metazoa; Mollusca; Bivalvia; Mytilida; Mytilidae. The record is from RNAcentral.
GAAAAGGUUGACUUUAGACUUUUACCUUUCAUUUGGGUCUCAAAUGGAAAGAAAAUAAAUCCAGAAUCUGCUUAAAUUUUGGUAAAUGACCUUUUAUGAGCUAUUGAAGUCUUAUUUGAAAAGAUAAAACAGGUGUUUUGUGGCAAAAUAUUUUACCCUGUAUCAUAGGCAAAAAACCACACUCUAACAUCAUUCAUAAAUUCCUAAACCGCAACUAAGUACCUCUUUUCCUCCCAUUUAAAAAUAAUA